GACGAACGCUGGCGGCGUGCUUAACACAUGCAAGUCGAACGGAAAGUCCCUGCUUUUUUGCGGUGCUCGAGUGGCGAACGGGUGAGUAACACGUGAGUAACCUGCCCUUGACUUUGGGAUAACUUCAGGAAACUUGGUCUAAUACCGGAUAGGAGCUCCUGCUGCAUGGUGGGGGUUGGUAAGUUUCGGCGGUUGGGGAUGGACUCGCGGCUUAUCAGCUUGUUGGUGGGGUAGUGGCUUACCAAGGCUUGGACGGGUAGCCGGCCUGAGAGGGUGACAGGACAAAUUGGGACGGAGAUACGGCACAGACUACUACGGGAGGGAGCAGUGGGGAAUAGUGCACAAUGGGAGGAAGCAUGAUGCAGCAACGCCGCGUGGGGGAUGACGGCCUGGGGGUUGUAAUGCGAUGCCGCCUGUGACGAAGCGUGAGUGACGGUAAUGGGUAAAGAAGCACCGGCUAACUACGUG
This 468-nucleotide ribosomal RNA is filed under the name uncultured bacterium. RNAcentral describes it as "partial 16S ribosomal RNA". It matches the Rfam family "Bacterial small subunit ribosomal RNA", at positions 28 to 507 of the family's 1533-position model. The record is from RNAcentral.